ACAUCAGUGCCUGACGAUGUCUUCAUUGUAUGCCUUUGGCUCUUUCUUCAUCAGUCUUUACUGUAAGAUGUCAAACUUCAGGUCAGGUGAGUGCUGUUACAUUUCAGCAAUCUCCUUCACAGAUAGUGGCAGAGAAAAGUGAAGUCCAGAUCGAUUGCAGUCAUAAUGAUGGGAACCUUCCUGUAAUGCUCUGGUAUCAGCAUAUAAAAGAAAAUCAGUCUAUGACCCUCAUUGGGUAUGGGUAUCAAAAUACCCGCCAAACAUUUGAGGGUCAGUUUGAAGAACAAUUCAAGUUGACAAGAGGAAGCGCAACAACAGGAACACUUACUAUUCCAAGCGCAGAACUGUCACACUCUGCUGUUUACUUCUGCGCUGCCAGCACACAGUGAUGUGGCUUAAUGCCACUCCCUUACUAAAAGCAUUUUUCCUACACCUGCAGGUGUGAUGUGUCUCUUACAGACUUUCGCUGAUAAAAACCGUGUUUAACCUGCAACAACACAAACUUGGAGGAUGUCAGCUGUGAUCGGGUUUCUUCUCAUUUUCCUUUCAAGUCAAGCCAGCAGUGUGACCUUUCAACCAUCUCAUCCAAGAAUAGUCAAUGAAACAUCCAAUGUUGAAAUUACAUGCAGUCAUGAUAAAAAUGACUUCUAUCUAAUGCUUUGGUACCAGCAAAAAGAAAAUGGUUUAAUGAGCCUCAUAGGAUACAGCUACUUCGGCAAUGCCCCUGUCAAGGAAGAACAAUUUGACAAUCGCUUUGUGAUUACAAGAGAAAAUAUCCAAACAGGAGCUCUGAGCAUCAGCAGCUUGAUUGUAUCAGACUCAGCCAUGUACUUCUGUGCUGCCAGCACACAGUGAUGUGUUUUGGUGUAAUGCCAAUGCUAAAAACCUUGUUCUUUCUGAACCAGGCUGCUGAAAUGUGCCUC
This is a non-coding RNA of Pundamilia nyererei, 923 nucleotides long. The record is from the annotation of a RefSeq genome assembly. Lineage: Eukaryota; Metazoa; Chordata; Actinopteri; Cichliformes; Cichlidae.